AGAGUUGUAGCUCAGCGGUAGAGUGCUUGCCUUGCAUGUGUGAGGCACUGGGUUUGAAUCUCAGCACUUCAU
RNAcentral lists this transfer RNA (72 nucleotides) under Urocitellus parryii (Arctic ground squirrel). Its description in RNAcentral is "Spermophilus parryii (Arctic ground squirrel) tRNA". It matches the Rfam family "tRNA". From Rfam's summary of the family: Transfer RNA (tRNA) molecules are approximately 80 nucleotides in length. Their secondary structure includes four short double-helical elements and three loops (D, anti-codon, and T loops). Lineage: Eukaryota; Metazoa; Chordata; Mammalia; Rodentia; Sciuridae. RNAcentral also lists the same sequence under 1 other name. The record is from Rfam by way of RNAcentral.